This 449-nucleotide ribosomal RNA is filed under the name uncultured bacterium. RNAcentral's name for it is "bacterial SSU rRNA". It matches the Rfam family "Bacterial small subunit ribosomal RNA", at positions 50 to 490 of the family's 1533-position model. The record is from RNAcentral.
UACACAUGCAGUCGACGGUAGCACAGAGGAGCUUGCUCCUUGGGUGACGAGUGGCGGACGGGUGAGUAAUGUCUGGGAAACUGCCCGAUGGAGGGGGAUAACUACUGGAAACGGUAGCUAAUACCGCAUAACGUCGCAAGACCAAAGAGGGGGACCUUCGGGCCUCUUGCCAUCGGAUGUGCCCAGAUGGGAUUAGCUAGUAGGUGGGGUAACGGCUCACCUAGGCGACGAUCCCUAGCUGGUCUGAGAGGAUGACCAGCCACACUGGAACUGAGACACGGUCCAGACUCCUACGGGAGGCAGCAGUGGGGAAUAUUGCACAAUGGGCGCAAGCCUGAUGCAGCCAUGCCGCGUGUAUGAAGAAGGCCUUCGGGUUGUAAAGUACUUUCAGCGAGGAGGAAGGCGUUGUGGUUAAUAACCGCAACGAUUGACGUUACUCGCAGAAGAAG